Molecule: long non-coding RNA, 1071 nt
Filed under: Nicotiana benthamiana
Lineage: Eukaryota; Viridiplantae; Streptophyta; Magnoliopsida; Solanales; Solanaceae
Description: long non-coding RNA (NBEN_LNC007030)
Source: RNAcentral
AAAUUACAUAUCAAAGGGAGUUAUACUAGUAAGGAGGACUUUAUUCAAUUUACAUAACCUACACACCAACAACAGUGCUCACAAGGAAAUAUUUACUCAAGCCACAACAUUUCAGGCAACACAACUUUAUGGAAUAGGAAGCAAAAUAUCCAACGGACAACACAUCCUACUGUGUACUUCUGAAGCACCUUUAUUUUGGGAAUUCAACUCAGAACUAAGCUUAGAAACAAAAUCUUAACUAUCAUUUGAUUUCCCCUUCUUUUGUUUGGCCUUAAACAAUGAGAUUAAACCAGUAGAGCAAAAUUAAUAGAUUUAAACCAACCUAACGAGAUCCAACAAUUAGCCAACAAUGAAAGAAGCAAAAUGAUGAGCCAAGUCUCUAGCAAAUUUCAGGAAGACAAUUUGUACAUUUGCACAGGGUCUUAAACCCACCAAAGCUGUUUACCUAUCAUUCAAACUAUAACAAACAACCAGCAACAAAACAUCCUCAAAACCUGCUCGUACACUUGCCGAACUUGUUAUUUAGCUAAGCCCAGUUUCAUGAUACACCAGUAACAGCUCAUUUGGUACGUACUAUUACAGAUCUACUACUUGGAAUUAAAUAGUUGGAAAAAAAAAAAGCUAAGGCAAACACAACUUGUAUUCCAUACAAUUUCCACUUGAAUUACAUAAUCAACAUUCACAUUGUUGCUCGUAGAUAGAAAAAUACCUGGGAAGAAAGAAACAACAUCAAAUAAAAAAUCAACAGUGAGAAACAACAAUUAGCUUGAGUUUGACAAAAUGGAUAAUGAACAGCUCAAGAUAGACCAAUGGAACAGUAAAAAAUCUUUAGAAAACUAACUUCAAAACCAGGUUAAACCACUUCUUCUCUACACAGAUGUACAAAUUCAGCAAUUUUUUUCCAGAGAUUCUAAACUAAGACCCCAAAAAUACCAAGUUCAAUCCAUAUUCCCCCAGAUAAACCAAAAUGUGUUUCAGGAAUUGAAAGUCUUAGAAACGAAAACAAUGAAAUAGUAUUUUCACAAAUUUCUCAACCGUCUAUAUUUUCUUUAUUUUUAGCUCCCUCCCUCU